AAAACGACUCUCAAUAAUAGAUAUCUCGACUCUCGCAUCGAUGAAGAACGUAGCUAAAUGUGAUACUUGGUGUGAAUUACAGAAUCCCGUGAACCAUCGAGUCUUUGAACAUAAGUUGCGCCCGAAGCCGUCAGGCCGAGGGCACGUCUACUUGGGCGUCAUGCAUCGCAUCGCCCCCC
This 179-nucleotide ribosomal RNA is filed under the name Lobelia giberroa. RNAcentral describes it as "Lobelia gibberoa 5.8S ribosomal RNA". The stretch from base 6 to 161 matches the Rfam family "5.8S ribosomal RNA". From Rfam's summary of the family: 5.8S ribosomal RNA (5.8S rRNA) is a component of the large subunit of the eukaryotic ribosome. It is transcribed by RNA polymerase I as part of the 45S precursor that also contains 18S and 28S rRNA. The record is from RNAcentral. Lineage: Eukaryota; Viridiplantae; Streptophyta; Magnoliopsida; Asterales; Campanulaceae.